CACGUAGUCCUUUUUUCUCUUCUUGCCACUUGGUGGCGUUGUAUUGUCGCUUCGGCGUUGUACUAGCCUUCUGGUUUUUCUUCUUUAAUCGAUGAUGCACCCGAUGGGUGGCGUUCUUGAAAAAAAAAAAAAAGUACUCCACUUAUGUGCACCCUGAAACCCUUACCAUCCCUGCACGACAACGCAUUCGCGUUUCUACACACCGCGGCUUCUUCCAUACUUUUGUUCGAGCGUAUGCACUGCCGUCUGGCCUCCGGGGAAAGCCGAAGCUGGCCCGGACGCGACGCCUCGUCCCACAUCGACACUUGGCUCCUGGUGGGCUUCAGGUGAUCACCUCCCCAGAUGCGAGCACAGCGCACGCACGCCGGAAUCCAGGA
RNAcentral lists this long non-coding RNA (377 nucleotides) under Brachypodium distachyon (stiff brome). RNAcentral's name for it is "long non-coding RNA (BDIS_LNC003601)". Lineage: Eukaryota; Viridiplantae; Streptophyta; Magnoliopsida; Poales; Poaceae. The record is from RNAcentral.